RNAcentral lists this ribosomal RNA (468 nucleotides) under uncultured bacterium. RNAcentral's name for it is "partial 16S ribosomal RNA". It matches the Rfam family "Bacterial small subunit ribosomal RNA", at positions 28 to 507 of the family's 1533-position model. The record is from RNAcentral.
GACGAACGCUGGCGGCGUGCUUAACACAUGCAAGUCGAACGGAAAGGCCCUGCUUUUGUGGGGUGCUCGAGUGGCGAACGGGUGAGUAACACGUGAGUAACCUGCCCUUGACUUUGGGAUAACUUCAGGAAACUGGGGCUAAUACCGGAUAGGAGCUCCUGCUGCAUGGUGGGGGUUGGAAAGUUUCGGCGGUUGGGGAUGGACUCGCGGCUUAUCAGCUUGUUGGUGGGGUAGUGGCUUACCAAGGCUUUGACGGGUAGCCGGCCUGAGAGGGUGACCGGCGACAUUGGGACUGAGAUACGGCCCAGACGCGUACGGGAGGCAGCAGUGGGGAAUAUUGCACAAUGGGCGGAAGCCUGAUGCAGCAACGCCGCGGGCGGGAUGACGGCCUUCGGGUUGUAAACCGCUUUCGCCUGUGACGAAGCGUGAGUGACGGUAAUGGGUAAAGAAGCACCGGCUAACUACGUG